AAAAUCUGCUGAGAUUAGAAAGAGAAAAAGGGCAAAGGAAAGCUAUGGUGACUCUCGAAAGAUGGUUCAAGUCCUUGUUGGAGCUUUUCAAAGCGCUGCAGGUAUAAAUUCACCUCACACUUCCUUGGCAGGGGAGAAUCAGACCAUUGAGUGGGCUAUACGACUAACAGUUGCUCUGAACAUUGCCAAAGCAUUAGAUCACUGCAGCAGCGAAGGCCGCCCAUUGUACCAUGACUUAAAUGCAUAUAUGGUUCUCUUUGAUGAGAGUUGGCUUCAUUUCAGUCCAGUCUCUAAAUAGGUCCAAUAACUCACUAAAUAGCCACCCCACAUAAUGAGCAGCUGAGUUAUGCAUCUCCAAGCAAGAAAAGGCUGGAUGCUAUUAGUGAUUCUGCCAAAGAAUCAAAACAAUGUGGUAGGUAUUUACAUUUCCAUGUAUAGGAUUUUGUGGAUUUUAUG
Malus domestica (apple) is the source of this 456-nucleotide non-coding RNA. Lineage: Eukaryota; Viridiplantae; Streptophyta; Magnoliopsida; Rosales; Rosaceae. The record is from RefSeq and is a predicted model, not a curated record.